Molecule: ribosomal RNA, 253 nt
Filed under: uncultured bacterium
Lineage: Bacteria
Description: partial 16S ribosomal RNA
Rfam family: Bacterial small subunit ribosomal RNA
Source: RNAcentral
UACAGAGGGGGCAAGCGUUGUUCGGAAUUACUGGGCGUAAAGGGCGCGUAGGCGGCCCGCUAAGUCGAACGUGAAAUCCCCGAGCUCAACUCGGGAACUGCGUCCGAUACUGGCGGGCUUGAAUCCGGGAGAGGGGUGCGGAAUUCCAGGUGUAGCGGUGAAAUGCGUAGAUAUCUGGAGGAACACCGGUGGCGAAGGCGGCAUCCUGGACCGGCAUUGACGCUGAGGCGCGAAAGCUAGGGGAGCAAACGGG